This is a long non-coding RNA of Oncorhynchus keta (chum salmon), 1619 nucleotides long. RefSeq lists it as uncharacterized. The transcript is spliced from 4 exons. The record is from RefSeq and is a predicted model, not a curated record. NCBI's taxonomy places the organism in Eukaryota, Metazoa, Chordata, Actinopteri, Salmoniformes, Salmonidae.
GGUGGCAGGGUAACCUAGUGGUUAGAGUGUAGAGGUGGCAGGUAGCCUAGUGGUUAGAGUGUAGAGGUGGCAGGGUAGCCUAGUGGUUAGAGUGUAGAGGUGGCAGGUAACCUAGUGGUUAGAGUGUAGAGGUGGCAGGGUAACCUAGUGGUUAGAGUGUAGAGGUGGCAGGUAGCCUAGUGGUUAGAGUGUAGAGGUGGCAGGGUAACCUAGUGGUUAGAGUGUAGAGGUGGCAGGGUAACCUAGUGGUUAGAGUGUAGAGGUGGCAGGUAGCCUAGUGGUUAGAGUGUAGAGGUGGCAGGUAGCCUAGUGGUUAGAGUGUAGAGGUGGCAGGGUAGCCUAGUGGUUAGAGUGUAGAGGAGGCAGGUAGCCUAGUGGUUAGAGUGUAGAGGUGGCAGGGUAACCUAGUGGUUAGAGUGUAGAGGUGGCAGGGUAGCCUAGUGGUUAGAGUGUAGAGGUGGCAGGGUAACCUAGUGGUUAGAGUGUAGAGGUGGCAGGGUAGCCUAGUGGUUAGAGUGUAGAGGUGGUAGGUAGCCUAGUGGUUAGAGUGUAGAGGUGGCAGGGUAACCUAGUGGUUAGAGUGUAGAGGUGGCAGGUAGCCUAGUGGUUAGAGUGUAGAGGUGGCAGGGUAACCUAGUGGUUAGAGUGUAGAGGUGGCAGGUAGCCUAGUGGUUAGAGUGUAGAGGUGGCAGGGUAACCUAGUGGUUAGAGUGUAGAGGUGGCAGGUAGCCUAGUGGUUAGAGUGUAGAGGUGGCAGGGUAGCCUAGUGGUUAGAGUGUAGAGGUGGCAGGUAGCCUAGUGGUUAGAGUGUAGAGGUGGCAGCGUAGCCUAGUGGUUAGAGUGUAGAGGUGGCAGGGUAACCUAGUGGUUAGAGUGUAGAGGUGGCAGGUAGCCUAGUGGUUAGAGUGUAGAGGAGGCAGGGUAGCCUAGUGGUUAGAGUGUAGAGGUGGCAGGGUAGCCUAGUGGUUAGAGUGUAGAGGUGGCAGGGUAACCUAGUGGUUAGAGUGUAGAGGUGGCAGGGUAACCUAGUGGUUAGAGUGUAGAGGUGGCAGGGUAGCCUAGUGGUUAGAGUGUAGAGGUGGCAGGGUAGCCUAGUGGUUAGAGUGUAGAGGUGGCAGGGUAGCCUAGUGGUUAGAGUGUAGAGGUGGCAGGUAGCCUAGUGGUUAGAGUGUAGAGGUGGCAGGGUAGCCUAGUGGUUAGAGUGUAGAGGAGGCAGGGUAGCCUAGUGGUUAGAGUGUAGAGGUGGCAGGGUAGCCUAGUGGUUAGAGUGUAGAGGGGGCAGGUAGCCUAGUGGUUAGAGUGUAGAGGUGGCAGGGUAGCCUAGUGGUUAGAGUGUAGAGGUGGCAGGGUAGCCUAGUGGUUAGAGUGUAGAGGUGGCAGGUAGCCUAGUGGUUAGAGUGUAGAGGCGGCAGGGUAGCCUAGUGGUUAGAGUGUAGAGGUGGCAGGGUAGCCUAGUGGUUAGAGUGUAGAGGAGGCAGGGUAGCCUAGUGGUUAGAGUGUAGAGGUGGCAGGGUAGCCUAGUGGUUAGAGUGUAGAGGAGGCAGGUAGCCUAGUGGUUAGAGUGUAGAGGAGGCAGGGUAGCCUAGUGGUUAGAGUGUAGAGGUGGCAGGGUAACCUAG